GACGAACGCUGGCGGCGUGCUUAACACAUGCAAGUCGAACGAUGAAGCCGGAGCUUGCUCUGGUGAAUUAGUGGCGAACGGGUGAGUAACACGUGAGUAACCUGCCCUUGACUCUGGGAUAACUGCUAGAAAUGGUAGCUAAUACCGGAUACGACCCUCGGAGGCAUCUUCAGGGGGUGGAAAGAAUUUCGGUCAAGGAUGGACUCGCGGCCUAUCAGCUAGUUGGUGAGGUAAUGGCUCACCAAGGCGACGACGGGUAGCCGGCCUGAGAGGGUGACCGGCCACACUGGGACUGAGACACGGCCCAGACUCCUACGGGAGGCAGCAGUGGGGAAUAUUGCACAAUGGGCGCAAGCCUGAUGCAGCAACGCCGCGUGAGGGAUGACGGCCUUCGGGUUGUAAACCUCUUUUAGUAGGGAAGAAGCGAAAGUGACGGUACCUGCAGAAAAAGCACCGGCUAACUACGUGCCAGCAGCCGCCGCAG
RNAcentral lists this ribosomal RNA (484 nucleotides) under uncultured bacterium. RNAcentral describes it as "partial 16S ribosomal RNA". It matches the Rfam family "Bacterial small subunit ribosomal RNA", at positions 28 to 523 of the family's 1533-position model. The record is from RNAcentral.